AAGAUGGCAUCAUGAGUUCACAUGUUCACAUGAUUAAAGGUAUUCCGGUAGACGAUGGGGAUGCGUUCCAUUAGAUAGUAGGCGGGGUAACGGCCCACCUAGUCUUCGAUGGAUAGGGGUUCUGAGAGGAAGGUCCCCCACAUUGGAACUGAGACACGGUCCUAACUCCUACGGGAGGCAGCAGUGAGGAAUAUUGGUCAAUGGGCGAGAGCCUGAACCAGCCAAGUAGCGUGAAGGAUGACUGCCCUAUGGGUUGUAAACUUCUUUUAUAAAGGAAUAAAGUCGGGUAUGCAUACCCGUUUGCAUGUACUUUAUGAAUAAGGAUCGGCUAACUCCGUGCCAGCAGCCGCGGUAAUACGGAGGAUCCGAGCGUUAUCCGGAUUUAUUGGGUUUAAAGGGAGCGUAGAUGGAUGUUUAAGUCAGUUGUGAAAGUUUGCGGCUCAACCGUAAAAUUGCAGUUGAUACUGGAUAUCUUGAGUGCCGUUGAGGCAGGCGGAAUUCGUGGUGUAGCGGUGAAAUGCUUAGAUAUCACGAAGAACUCC
This 542-nucleotide ribosomal RNA is filed under the name uncultured Bacteroidales bacterium. RNAcentral describes it as "bacterial SSU rRNA". It matches the Rfam family "Bacterial small subunit ribosomal RNA", at positions 170 to 710 of the family's 1533-position model. The record is from RNAcentral. Lineage: Bacteria; Pseudomonadati; Bacteroidota; Bacteroidia; Bacteroidales.